RNAcentral lists this microRNA (21 nucleotides) under Picea abies (Norway spruce). Its description in RNAcentral is "pab-miR11467a". The record is from miRBase by way of RNAcentral. Lineage: Eukaryota; Viridiplantae; Streptophyta; Pinopsida; Pinales; Pinaceae.
CUGAAAAGCUUAUCGAAGGGA